RNAcentral lists this ribosomal RNA (60 nucleotides) under uncultured bacterium. Its description in RNAcentral is "partial 16S ribosomal RNA". The record is from RNAcentral.
UACCCUUGACAUCUACAGAAGCCGGAAGAGAUUCUGGUGUGCCUUCGGGAACUGUAAGAC